AGUCGAAACGCUGUAAGCGUCUGUAGGAACUGACCGUCCUGCACUGAUGAGACAGGUUAAA
Molecule: non-coding RNA, 61 nt
Filed under: Candidatus Thorarchaeota archaeon
Lineage: Archaea; Promethearchaeati; Candidatus Thorarchaeota
Source: RNAcentral